Molecule: long non-coding RNA, 217 nt
Filed under: Capsicum annuum
Lineage: Eukaryota; Viridiplantae; Streptophyta; Magnoliopsida; Solanales; Solanaceae
Description: long non-coding RNA (CANN_LNC002458)
Source: RNAcentral
AGCGUGUAGAUACAGGUAUAGAUGCAGAAUCAAUUGUAUGUAAAGAUAAUGCACAAUUCCUAGAUGGACCAUAAACUAGUUCAAUAGGAUAUUUAUGAUGCAUAACAGGCAAUAAUUUUGGCAUAGAAAAGGAAUGUCGGCUAUAAACCGUGGAUUUAUUGUCAAAUUAAAAACAAAUCCUUCCAUAUAGAUUCUGAGUUACAUGGGAUAACUCAGA